RNAcentral lists this ribosomal RNA (425 nucleotides) under uncultured bacterium. Its description in RNAcentral is "bacterial SSU rRNA". It matches the Rfam family "Bacterial small subunit ribosomal RNA", at positions 355 to 772 of the family's 1533-position model. The record is from RNAcentral.
UGGGGAAUCUUGCACAAUGCGCGAAAGCGUGAUGCAGCAACGCCGCGUGGGGGAAGAAGGCCUUCGGGUUGUAAACCCCUUUCAGUUGGGACGAAGCUUCAGUGGUGAAUAGCCGCUUGGAGUGACGGUACCUUCACAAGAAGCCCCGGCUAACUACGUGCCAGCAGCCGCGGUAAUACGUAGGGGGCUAGCGUUGUCCGGAAUCAUUGGGCGUAAAGAGCGUGUAGGCGGCCCGGUAAGUCCGCUGUGAAAGUCGGGGGCUCAACCCUCGAAUGCCGGUGGAUACUGUCGGGCUAGAGUGCGGAAGAGGCGAGUGGAAUUCCUGGUGUAGCGGUGAAAUGCGCAGAUAUCAGGAGGAACACCAAUUGCGAAGGCAGCUCGCUGGGACGUAACUGACGCUGAGGAACGAAAGCCAGGGGAGCAAA